This 35-nucleotide ribosomal RNA is filed under the name Eucalyptus mannensis subsp. vespertina. Its description in RNAcentral is "partial 18S ribosomal RNA". The record is from RNAcentral. Lineage: Eukaryota; Viridiplantae; Streptophyta; Magnoliopsida; Myrtales; Myrtaceae.
CAAGGUUUCCGUAGGUGAACCUGCGGAGAUCAUUG